This 498-nucleotide ribosomal RNA is filed under the name uncultured bacterium. RNAcentral describes it as "bacterial SSU rRNA". It matches the Rfam family "Bacterial small subunit ribosomal RNA", at positions 863 to 1367 of the family's 1533-position model. The record is from RNAcentral.
AGUGAUCCACCUGGGGAGUACGGCCGCAAGGUUGAAACUCAAAGGAAUUGACGGGGGCCCGCACAAGCAGUGGAGUAUGUGGUUUAAUUCGAAGCAACGCGAAGAAACCUUACCAGGUCUUGACAUCGUGCGCAUAGCCUAGAGAUAGGUGAAGCCCUUCGGGGCGCACAGACAGGUGGUGCAUGGUUGUCGUCAGCUCGUGUCGUGAGAUGUUGGGUUAAGUCCCGCAACGAGCGCAACCCUUGUAUUUAGUUGCUACGCAAGAGCACUCUAGAUAGACUGCCGUUGAUAAAACGGAGGAAGGUGGGGAUGACGUCAAAUCAUCAUGCCCCUUACGACCUGGGCAACACACGUACUACAAUGGCGUAUAACAGAGGGAAGCAAAACAGCGAUGUGGAGCAAACCCCUAAAAUGCGUCUCAGUUCAGAUCGCAGGCUGCAACUCGCCUGCAUGAAGUCGGAAUUGCUAGUAAUCGCGGAUCAGCAUGCCGCGGUGAAU